CCUACGGGUGGCUGCAGGCGAGAAAACUUUGCAAUGUGCGAAAGCACGACAAGGUUAAUCCGAGUGGUUUCUGCUAAAGAAACCUUUUGUUAGUCCUAGAAACACUGAUGAAUAAGGGGUGGGCAAGUUCUGGUGUCAGCGCCGCGGUAAAACCAGCACCUCAAGUGGUCAGGAUGAUUAUUGGGCCUAAAGCAUCCGUAGCCGGCUAUGUAAGUUUUCGGUUAAAUCUGUGCGCUUAACGUACAGGCUGCCGGGAACACUGCAUAGCUAGGAAGUGGGAGAGGUAGACGGUACUCGGUAGGAAGGGGUAAAAUCCUUUGAUCUAUGAUGACCACCUGUGGCGAAGGCGGUCUACCAGAACACGUUCGACGGUGAGGGAUGAAAGCUGGGGGAGCAAACCGGAUUAGAUACCCUUGUAGUC
RNAcentral lists this ribosomal RNA (421 nucleotides) under uncultured archaeon. RNAcentral's name for it is "partial 16S ribosomal RNA". It matches the Rfam family "Archaeal small subunit ribosomal RNA", at positions 322 to 746 of the family's 1478-position model. The record is from RNAcentral.